CGGAGAUGAGGGUUUGGGUCACCACAACAGGAAUUGCAUAAGUUGACUAGAAUCAGCAAUCAUCUGUCCUGAUCUCAGGACAAUCUGGUGUAUACAAAGCCCAAGACGUGGAAACUCAGUGAGAAGUCAUCAGUCAGCAUCCUGAGGGGCUGUUCCAGGCCAGUUCUCCUGGAGGAAUCACCUACAAUCCCUUGAGAAGCCAUUGCAGAUGGAAGCUACAAGAGGAGAGGAA
This is a non-coding RNA of Microcebus murinus (gray mouse lemur), 232 nucleotides long. Lineage: Eukaryota; Metazoa; Chordata; Mammalia; Primates; Cheirogaleidae. The record is from RefSeq and is a predicted model, not a curated record.